Caenorhabditis elegans is the source of this 209-nucleotide non-coding RNA. NCBI's taxonomy places the organism in Eukaryota, Metazoa, Nematoda, Chromadorea, Rhabditida, Rhabditidae. The record is from Ensembl.
UGAUAAUGAUCAAAAGACAAGACAUCUCUCAACACAAAAGACGACAACACCGGGGAAGAAGAAUCAUCGAAAUUUGUGGCCGGGUGUCAUAAAAAUGAGAAAUUGCUGGUCAUCGGGUGUCGUCGUAUGCCUGCACACAUAAAGCACACAUGUCGGGAAGGCGCCUAGAUGACGACCGACAUCUUCCAGAUGACCUCCAAUUACUAGUG